Molecule: ribosomal RNA, 407 nt
Filed under: uncultured bacterium
Lineage: Bacteria
Description: partial 16S ribosomal RNA
Rfam family: Bacterial small subunit ribosomal RNA
Source: RNAcentral
GACGAACGCUGGCGGCGUGCCUAAUACAUGCAAGUAGAACGCAGUUGCGAACGGGUGAGUAACGCGUAUGUAACUGCCUCAUAGCGGGGGAUAACUAUUGGAAACGAUAGCUAAUACCGCAUACUGUGAGCUGGACCUGCGUUGUAUUAGCUAGUUGGUGAGGUAAAGGCUCACCAAGGCGCCGAUACAUAGCCGAGCUGAGAGGGUGGUCGGGCACACCGGGAAUGAGAAACGGGCCAGACCUCUACGGGAGGCAGCAGUAGGGAAACUUCGGAAAUGGACGGAAGUCUUACCGAGCAAAGGCGGGGGAGUGAAGAAGGGUUUCGGAUCGUAAAGCUCUGUUGUUAGAGAAGCGGUAACUAAACAGAAAGGGACGGCUAACUACGUGCCAGCAGCCGCGGUAAUAC